CAGUCGCCGCGGGAAUACGAAGGGUGCAAGCGUUACUCGGAAUUACUGGGCGUAAAGCGUGCGUAGGUGGUGGUUUAAGUCCGUUGUGAAAGCCCUGGGCUCAACCUGGGAAUUGCAGUGGAUACUGGGUCACUAGAGCGUGGUAGAGGAUAGUGGAAUUUCCGGUGUAGCAGUGAAAUGCGUAGAGAUCGGAAGGAACAUCUGUGGCGAAGGCGACUAUCUGGGCCAACACUGACACUGAGGCACGAAAGCGUGGGGAGCAAACAGGAUUAGAUACCCCAGUAGUCCCUGUCUCUUAUAC
This 301-nucleotide ribosomal RNA is filed under the name uncultured bacterium. Its description in RNAcentral is "partial 16S ribosomal RNA". It matches the Rfam family "Bacterial small subunit ribosomal RNA", at positions 509 to 807 of the family's 1533-position model. The record is from RNAcentral.